RNAcentral lists this ribosomal RNA (253 nucleotides) under uncultured bacterium. RNAcentral's name for it is "partial 16S ribosomal RNA". It matches the Rfam family "Bacterial small subunit ribosomal RNA", at positions 524 to 776 of the family's 1533-position model. The record is from RNAcentral.
UACAGAGGUCCCGAGCGUUGUUCGGAUUCACUGGGCGUAAAGAGUGUGUAGGCGGUGUUCUAAAUUUGUCGUGAAAUCUCCCGGCUUAACUGGGAGGGUGCGGCGAAAACUGGAAUGCUAGAGGAUGGGAGAGGUAAGCGGAAUUCCUGGUGUAGCGGUGAAAUGCGUAGAUAUCAGGAGGAACACCUGUGGUGUAGACAGCUUACUGGACCAUUUCUGACGCUGAGGCGCGAAAGCGUGGGGAGCGAACAGG